RNAcentral lists this long non-coding RNA (201 nucleotides) under Homo sapiens (human). RNAcentral's name for it is "non-protein coding lnc-FBXO45-7:1". Lineage: Eukaryota; Metazoa; Chordata; Mammalia; Primates; Hominidae. The record is from RNAcentral.
AACAUUGGCAACAAGCCCUCCAACAAGCCGGUCCCUGAGAGGAGCAUGUGGACAGUGCCUGUGUGGGCCAAUGGACCCUCUGUGGAGCUGGCCCCCUCAUCCGCUCCAGAUUGUGGCCUGGCCACUGUGCCUCUUUUCUUGGCUGUGAUGGGGCUUGGGGUACUUGUUCCCCUCCUGCCUGACCAUUAGGUGCCAGCUGGC